UAAACGGUAAGGUUUUGUUUGGAUGUUGUCGGAUUCACCUCAAUCCACAUGUUUUGGAGUAGAUUAGGGUGGAAUUUAGUUCAAGUUCCACUCCAAUUCACCCCAAUACAUGUGGAUUGAUGCGAAUCCAACUACAUCCAAACAAGGCCUAAAUAUAAGUGUGGAUAGUGUAGAUAAAUAUAGAAGAGAUAGAUAUGAGGAUGGAAAAGGAUC
Molecule: microRNA precursor, 213 nt
Filed under: Sorghum bicolor (sorghum)
Lineage: Eukaryota; Viridiplantae; Streptophyta; Magnoliopsida; Poales; Poaceae
Description: miR5565e stem-loop (sbi-MIR5565e)
Rfam family: MIR5565 microRNA precursor family (bases 25-133)
Source: miRBase by way of RNAcentral